RNAcentral lists this long non-coding RNA (345 nucleotides) under Equus caballus (horse). RNAcentral describes it as "lncRNA (ENSECAG00000056125.1)". Lineage: Eukaryota; Metazoa; Chordata; Mammalia; Perissodactyla; Equidae. The record is from RNAcentral.
CUGCAGUGAACAUAGGGGUGCAUGUAUCUUUAUGCAUUCAUGUUUUCAUGUUUUUUGGAUAAAUACCUAGCAGUGAAAUAGCUGGAUCAUAUGGUAUUUCUAUUCUUACUUUUUUGAGGAAUCUCCACACUGUUUUCCAUAGUGGCUGAACCAAUUUGCACUCCCACCAGCGGUGGAUGAGGGUUCCCUUCUCUCUACAUCCUCUCCAAUACUUGUUUCCUGUCUCAUUAACAGGCAGUAAGCCGUAUAUAUUAAUGAUUGCUGUUCUAGGUGCUACUGGUACAAUGGUGAACAAGACAGAACACGUCUGAUUUCCUGAGAAAAAAAGAUUUCAAUUCUAUGCCC